AUGGCUCCCUGUCAUCUCCAGGAUCAAAUACAAAAUCCCCUGGGAUUCAAAGCACUUCAUAACCUAUCCAUCACACAUAUAAAUACACACACCUUUAUAGUCUUCUUAUACCUAACCCCCCUCCUCUACAUACAAUUCAGUGACCAAGGAAGGCAAGGAAGGAAGGAAGGAAGGGGAGAAAGAAAAAGAAAGAAAGAGAGAGAGAGAAAGAAAGAGAGAAAGAGAGAGGAAGGAAGAGAUGGCAUGUGCAUGGAGACUCACCAAAGCAAACUCAAAAGGAGUGAUGAGACCAUAUUUCAUGAAAAUUCAGGGAGAAGAGAAAGAGACUUCACACAGAUGAAGUCAAAAAAGAUGAGAACUAAAAAAAAAGUCCAUCAGAUGUAUUUAUUAUAAUGGUGAUUCAGGCCUCUGGGUGUCUUUGCAGUGUUUAGGAUUGAAAUUCUAUGAUAGUUACAGGCCAGCAGGUGGCGAGAGAGAUUUGAAAGUCAUCUCUUCAUCCCCAUCUCUCAGUACAGAAAACCCAUUGACUGCUCAGCCAACCAGCUGUAAGUCUUUCUCUAUAGGAAAUCCCCUCCAAAGGGAGUGGUCCUCCCUUGCGCUUCUCCAGCUUGACUGCUCCUUGGGCAGCCCAAAGAGAGGGUCUCUUGUGCUGGGCCACUCCAGGGACCGAGAUACCAACAGCCUCCUGCAAUGACGUAUUCCAGGGUUUUCACUGGCAAGAGCCCAAGUCUAUAGACCCCAAAUUCAGCACUUUGCCACUCUACCCUGAGGUCUAGCUGGAGAGAAAGCCCUGGCAGAUACUUUUCCAAGGAGGUGGUUUGAAAAAUUGAUGAAUGGGACUUUAGAACACAACACUAGCAGAGUCUUUAGGGCACGGGCAUUAAUCAUACUGUUCCAAUGGAAAGGGGCCCUUGGAGCUUGUCUAGUCCAAUGUUAAUGGGGAAAUAAGCCAGAGGAGGCGAUCCAUGGGCAAAUGUCCAUGUGAAUACUUGGGAACAAUGAUCCCUUGGGGGAUACCUGGGUGCCAACUGGAAGUGCCAUCACCCCACACCCCAUUCCCUUAACAUCCAUUUUAAUGUACCUAUUUCUAGCAAUGGGAAAGUGCUGCCAAAGCCCUGGCAAAAAUCCCAAUUUCCAAAACUAAGGAAGGGAGACUUCUUGUGUAAUAAAAACAGUUCUGUACAAGGGGAGCA
RNAcentral lists this long non-coding RNA (1193 nucleotides) under Monodelphis domestica (gray short-tailed opossum). RNAcentral describes it as "lncRNA (ENSMODG00000045679.1)". Lineage: Eukaryota; Metazoa; Chordata; Mammalia; Didelphimorphia; Didelphidae. The record is from RNAcentral.